RNAcentral lists this ribosomal RNA (2125 nucleotides) under Xanthomonas citri pv. eucalyptorum. RNAcentral's name for it is "Xanthomonas axonopodis pv. eucalyptorum partial 23S ribosomal RNA". It matches the Rfam family "Bacterial large subunit ribosomal RNA", at positions 27 to 2167 of the family's 2925-position model. The record is from RNAcentral. Lineage: Bacteria; Pseudomonadati; Pseudomonadota; Gammaproteobacteria; Lysobacterales; Lysobacteraceae.
AAUGCCUUGGAAAAUGGAGCCGAAAAAGGACGUGAUUACCUGCGAAAAGUCUGGGGGAGCUGGAAGUAAGCUGCGAUCCCGGAAUGUCCGAAUGGGGAAACCUAACAUGAUUUAUCUCAUGUUAUCUAUAAGUGAAUACAUAGCUUAUAAGAAGGGAACCUAGGGAACUGAAACAUCUUAGUACCUAGAGGAAAAGAAAAUAAUAAUGAUUCUGUUAGUAGUGGCGAGCGAACACGGAACAGGCCAAACCGUUCUACGGGGCGGGGUUGUAGGACUUUUGUUAGAGUUACAAAGUUAUUGUAUAGUAGAAGCUAUUGGGAAGUAGCGGCAUAGAGGGUGAUACCCCCGUAUACAAAAUGCAAUAACCUCGAGAAAGUAUCCUGAGUACGGCGAAACAUGUGAAAUUUUGUCGGAAUCUGCCAAGACCACUUGGUAAGCCUAAAUACUACCAUUUUACCGAUAGUGAACCAGUACCGUGAGGGAAAGGUGAAAAGCACCCCGAGAGGGGAGUGAAAGAGAUCCUGAAACCAUAUGCUUACAAGAAGGUAGAGUCCGUUAAUGGGUGAUACCGUGCUUUUUGUAGAAAGAGCCGGCGAGUUACUAUUGCAUGCGAGGUUAAGUCGAUAUAGAUGGAGCCGUAGUGAAAGCGAGCCUUAAUAGGGCGUUUAGUAUGCAGUAGUAGACACGAAACCGGGUGAUCUAGCCAUGAGCAGGUUGAAGUUAGGGUAAAACCUAAUGGAGGACCGAACCAGUAUUCGUUGAAAAGACUUUGGAUGACUUGUGGCUAGCGGUGAAAUUCCAAUCGAACCCGGAGAUAGCUAGUUCUCCCCGAUAUAUCUUUAAGGAUAGCGUUAUGUGAAUUGUUGUGGAGGUAGAGCACUGAAUCUAUGAUGGCUGCACCUAGCGGUACUGAUUAGAAUUAAACUCCGAAUGCCAUAACUUGUGCAUAGCAGUCAGAACAUGGGUGAUAAGGUCCAUGCUCGUGAGGGAAACAGCCCAGAUCGUCAGCUAAGGUCCCUAAGUGUAAACUAAGUGUGUAAGGAUGUGGAACUGCACAGACAGCUAGGAUGUUGGCUUAGAAGCAGCCAUCAUUUAAAGAGUGCGUAACAGCUCACUAGUCGAGUGAUUCUGCGCCGAAAAUGUACCGGGGCUUAAGUUUACCACCGAAGCUACGGAUUGUACGCAAGUACAGUGGUAGGGGAGCGUUCCAAGGGUGAUGAAGUCAGACCGUAAGGACUGGUGGAGCGCUUGGAAGUGAUUAUGCCGGCAUGAGUAACGUUUGGAAGUGAGAAUCUUCCAUGCCGUUUGACCAAGGUUUCCUGGGCAAGGUUCGUCCACCCAGGGUUAGUCAGGACCUAAGGCGAGGCCGACAGGCGUAGUCGAUGGACAACAGGUUGAUAUUCCUGUACCAGUUAAUUAGUGAUGGAGUGACGGAGAAGGAUAGUAUAUCCCGGGUGCUGGUUGUCCCGGGCUAAGCACAAAGACGGCAACAUUGGCAAAUCCGUGUUGUAUUAACGUUGAAGUGUGAUGGGGAGUGAACGGUUCGCCUAGUAACGAAGUAUAUGACUCCACGCUUCCAAGAAAAGCUUCUAACAUUAAUAAUUAACUGCCUGUACCUAGAACGAACACACGUGGUCAAGGAGAAAAUCCUAAGGCAAGCGAGACAACUGUAGCUAAGGAACUCUGCAAAAUAACUCCGUAACUUCGGAAGAAGGAGUGCUCAUCUUUGAUGAGCCGCAGUGAAGAGGGAGGGGCAACUGUUUAACAAAAACACAGCUCUCUGCUAAGUCGCAAGACGAUGUAUAGGGGGUGACACCUGCCCAGUGCCGGAAGGUUAAGAGGAGAAGUCAGCACAAGCGAAGCUUUGAAUUGAAGCCCCGGUGAACGGCGGCCGUAACUAUAACGGUCCUAAGGUAGCGAAAUUCCUUGUCAGGUAAAUUCUGACCCGCACGAAAGGUGUAAUGAUCCCUUCGCUGUCUCGGCUGCAGACUCGGUGAAAUUUUAGUACCGGUGAAGAUGCCGGUUACCCGCAACUAGACGGGAAGACCCCGUGGAGCUUUACUAUAACUUGAUAUUGAAAUUUGGUGUAACGUGUAGAGGAUAGGUGGGAGACUAUGAGACCAGG